GUCUAUGGCUGUACCACCCUCAAUGUGCCCAGUCUUUUCAGCUCCCUGAAGCUAAGCGGGGUUGAGCCUGGCUAGUAUUUGGAUGGGAGAGUGGGAAUACCUGGUGCUGUAGGCU
Molecule: ribosomal RNA, 115 nt
Filed under: Microcebus murinus (gray mouse lemur)
Lineage: Eukaryota; Metazoa; Chordata; Mammalia; Primates; Cheirogaleidae
Source: RNAcentral